RNAcentral lists this microRNA precursor (96 nucleotides) under Nicotiana attenuata. Its description in RNAcentral is "MIR6152 microRNA precursor family". It matches the Rfam family "MIR6152 microRNA precursor family". Lineage: Eukaryota; Viridiplantae; Streptophyta; Magnoliopsida; Solanales; Solanaceae. The record is from Rfam by way of RNAcentral.
UGGACGGAUUAUUGUAUUCGACUGUAUUCACGACGUGAAACAGGGGAUUACGCUGUUUAUAAACGGAAAGUGAAUCAAUUAACAUAAUAGACUCCU